UUAAGCACAAUUGCCCCUUCAUCUAAGUCUAUGCUGACUACUUGAAAUCACCUUCUUGUCCUUCAUAUGUUUGGAAAUGGUUUCUGGGCUUAUUUGUUCCAUCACCCUUCCAGGGACUGAGGUGAGGCUGACUAGCCUACGUUUCAUCAGAUCCUCCUUCCUGCCCUUCUUGAAGUUAAGCGUGACAUUUGCUUUCUUCAAGUCCUCAGGAACCUCUGCCAGUCACCACGACCUUUCGAAGAUAAUCAAGAGUGGCCUUGCAAUGAUACUGGCCACCUCCCUCAGCCCUUGUGUGUGUAUCCCAUCAGAUCCCAUGGACUACGUACGUCCAGGUUGUUUAAAGAUCCCUAACCUGAUCCUCCUCCACCAAGGUUCAGGUUCCAGAUUCUCCAAACAAGAGUGCUCAACUACUUACUUUAAUAAUACCAUUACUUCAUGACCUUAUGAAAGAUUCCUCAUGGGCAACAGCAGAGAAAAACGAAAGAGGGUGCAGAAUGGGAAGAAAAACUAAGAUGCUGCUGACAGAAAAUGUGCAGAUGUCAUGACAAAAAAUACAAGUUACUUAUUUUUACAGUACCAUUAUUAACAAUUUGUCCUAAUGCACAAUUCUUUUCUACUGUUGGAAACUGAGAUGGGUCAUUGUUUCAAGUAUAUCAAUGAUACCAUGUUCUAAAUGAAAACAGUAAAAGUUUAUUAAAGACGUUAUUUCUGUAAUUGCAUUUUUCAAAAGUAAAGGACAAUUUUACAAAUCAUGUGAUUCCAAAGGUGACUCCUUAAUUUGCUCAGAGUUAGGAUAAGAAAGGAAAUGUUAUAAGUUACAUAGGAAUAUCUAAAGAUAUCACAUCAGAAAAAAACUGUUGAAAAGUAACAGUUACCACAAAAUACCAUGGUUUAUGUAUUUGUGAAUUUUAAAAACUGUACAUACCUCCUGUUGCAACUCUUCAAUACAUUUGGUUUUAUUUUCCACCUGUUUCUUUAUAUUAUUCAACUAAAAGAGAUAUUUCAAACAUUAAUUAAUAAACUCCUAAAAAAUUACGCACUGUGUUAGAGAUUACUGUCAAUGUUCUUAAACAUGCAUAUGCACGAGUCUGAUUAAUUCUAAUCGGACUGAAACACAUGCUAACGUGUUACAAUGAUCGGAGUUUUAACUGUAAAGUACUACAAGAAUUUUGCUAGCCCAAUGUCACCAACAUUAAUAGCAAUGAACCAAUUCCUCAGUGGUUGUAGAGUUUAGAAAGAAGGAGGAAAAAAGAAAAAAAAAAAAAAAAAAAAACUUUGCAAUUUAAAAAAAACCAACCUUGUAUGAAGUUCUCCCCAGUCCAUGACAAAAAAUGAAUUUUCAUACCUUAUUUUCUAAAAUCUUCAACUGCUUUUCCUUUCUUGAAAUUUCAUUUUCAAUACUCUUAGCCUGGAAUUAUAAUUGUAAAUAUUUCACUUCUACAAUAAAAUUUUGAAAUCCAUUAUGAUAUUUAAAAAAAAAAAACAGGUAUGCUCUGAAACUACAGUAAGAAAGUAAAAAUAUUUGAACAUAUUUAAACUAAAACUCAUAUUACAUAUUGAAAGCUAAUCCAUACCCCAUCCGUCACUAAGUGGGUAUACAGAAGCUAAAAAAAAGAGGGUUCUCUGCCUGAAAUCUAACAAAUCUGGACUUUUAAGCCUUCAUGUAAAGAGUAAACAUCCCAGUGAAGGUCCUUGUCUUUUAUUUUAAAAGGGCUCAGCCAUGUGUACAUGUGUUGACUCAAUUGGUAGCAGCACUGAAAGAAGAAAGCCUCUGUAAGAGAUUACAUCCCCAGGUAGAGCUUUGCAGAAAAAGAAAAAGAAAAGAAAAACAAAGAAGUUUUACAUUUAGAUUUUGUCCUACAUGUUAUAUUAUAUAUUUUCAUGAUAAAGCACAUGAUAUGGCAUACAUUUUCUUCUCUUUCAUCCAGUUUACUUUUAAUCUCUUCACCGUUCUUUACCAUCUUCUCCUUCAAAGACUCCAGUUCAUUUCUAAAUGCCAAGUUAACAAGCAUUAGUAAAUAUUUACUUAAUAACUUUACCUUCUUUUCACUACUGCUAAAUAAACCCAUACUUUAUUUUCUAAAAAGAGCUGCUAAUAUUGAUGAGAACUUCAUACACUGUUCAAUGGAAAUGUUCUUAAAAUGAUGCAAAGUGACUGGUAAGUUAAUAUCUGACCUGUAUAUACUUUUUUGUAAUUAUGGAAAGAUGUUCCCCUUACCUGAGUAAAGUAUAUUCUAAUCUGUAAUAUCGUAAUGCAUCUAUGAAACAUGGAAGGCUGUCUGUCUAUUGGGUUGUUGGUACAUAGACUACUUCAGAGAGUAACAUUUAACCAGUUUCACCUUUUCACAUUUAAUCCAUAACCUUUAACUUCUUAUUUUCAUUUCCUUCACAUCUAAGAUGUUAAUGCAGAACAGGAUCGCUCUCUGUAUGUAAUAUGAAGCUAGGGCAAAAAUGGUUCCUGUAACAAUUGGUAUCACUAAUUUGUAGAAACUUCUACAUGGCCAACAUCAAUACUAAAUAGUUUCUGUUUAGCUAUAUAACCUAAAAAACCCCAUUAAACUAAAAAUCACAGAAAGCAGCAUAUGAACACAACAUUCAGACUAACUGUGAAGGAAUGGAGUCUACUUCCUUUAAUAAUAUUGUAUAUUAGUAUUUAUUUUUACUUGCCUUAGCUGGCCAUUUGCUUCUUCCAGGUUUUCAACUAGCUGCUUUGCAUUUUCUUCUUUUUUUCUACUAUCCUAAAUAAAGACCCACAUAAGUAAAAUGAAUAAAAUUCAAAGUCACAUCUUAAAAAAUUCGAAGACAUCUUAAGCAAUAUCUUGACCUGCCUUAUUCGCACAAAAAAUACUUCAGAUACUCUACAGAACCAUGUCAUAUUGCAGUUUACCAUAUGAUUUGUAUUUUAAAUUGAGUGUUGUCCUUUAAAACCAGCUGGAAGUUUACAACUUGCCUCGUGACUUUCUUGCAGUUUCUUGAGUUCUGUAGCCAUACCACUUUUCUCUUGUGCUAUUUGUUCCUUUUCUAAUAAAAGCUUAUUGAUAUA
Molecule: long non-coding RNA, 3043 nt
Organism: Harpia harpyja (harpy eagle)
Lineage: Eukaryota; Metazoa; Chordata; Aves; Accipitriformes; Accipitridae
Exons: 2
Source: RefSeq, a predicted model, not a curated record